This 85-nucleotide non-coding RNA is filed under the name Acinetobacter sp. yr461. The record is from RNAcentral. Lineage: Bacteria; Pseudomonadati; Pseudomonadota; Gammaproteobacteria; Moraxellales; Moraxellaceae.
CUCUAUGGUGGAACGGAGGGGGACACCCUUGGGUGUGCUGGAGUCUUAAGGCCAGUCCGCGAACCCCCUUCGUUCUGCCACCAUA